This 349-nucleotide transfer-messenger RNA is filed under the name Tateyamaria sp. It matches the Rfam family "Alphaproteobacteria transfer-messenger RNA". From Rfam's summary of the family: Bacterial tmRNA, also known as 10Sa RNA or SsrA, is named for its dual tRNA and mRNA-like properties. Its role is to liberate the mRNA from a stalled ribosome. To accomplish this part of the tmRNA is used as a reading frame that ends in a translation stop signal. Lineage: Bacteria; Pseudomonadati; Pseudomonadota; Alphaproteobacteria; Rhodobacterales; Roseobacteraceae. The record is from RNAcentral.
CUGAUUGCAUGCUGGUUGGUAUGAGGUUAUAGUAUUGGUGUCUUUAGGGACUAUGGACAUAAACGCGCUCGUAAUAAGCGGAUCGGACCCGGGGGCGGUACCCGGCGACUCCACCACAAUUCCUUCAUUUGAGGACUAUGGGGUCGAAAUAGGAUCGACGGACGUCUAAAGGGGUAUGCUUUGUUUCGGCUGUCUGCCACCGUUAUCGGCGAAACUUGUACAAUUGCAAAUGACAAUCGUGCUCCGAUGGCAGUUGCGGCGUAAGCCGUAGCCUAAAUCGAAACUUAAGCCCUUACGCCUAGCCGCGUAAGGCGGGGUCCGUAGGCACCUGGCAACAGAAGCCUACACU